RNAcentral lists this ribosomal RNA (440 nucleotides) under uncultured bacterium. RNAcentral's name for it is "partial 16S ribosomal RNA". It matches the Rfam family "Bacterial small subunit ribosomal RNA", at positions 338 to 795 of the family's 1533-position model. The record is from RNAcentral.
CCUACGGGAGGCAGCAGUGGGGGAUAUUGCUCAAUGGGGGAAACCCUGAUGCAGCGACGCCGCGUGAGUGAUGAAGGUUUUCGGUUUGUAAAGCUCUUUUAGUAGGGAAGAAAAUGACAGUACCUGACCAAUAAGCCCCGGCUAACUCCGUGCCAGCAGCCGCGGUAAUACGGAGGGGGCAAGCGUUAUCCGGAUUCACUGGGCGUAAAGGGGGCGUAGACGGGUCUGUAAGUCUGAUGUGAAAGCCUGGGGCUCAACCCCAGAACUGCAUUGGAAACUGUGUUUCUAGAGUACAGGAGGGGCAGGCGGAAUUCCUGGUGUAGCGGUGAAAUGCGUAGAUAUCAGGAGGAACACCGACUGCGAAGGCGGCCUGCUAGACUGUAACUGACGUUGAGGCUCGAAAGCGUGGGGAGCAAACAGGAUUAGAUACCCGUGUAGUC